AUGCCUGGUUUGGUUAUGCUACGGUUAAGAUCAAACAACUUUUCUAGUCACAUUCCAGUUGAAAUAAUGGGACUUCAUGAUGUUCGUAUUCUGGAUCUAUCCAAUAAUAACUUUUUUGGGGACAUACCAAAGUGCGUAGGAAACUUGAAAACUUUCACUGACACAGCUAUUGCUAAUGAUGCAUCAUUUGAUAAUCCUUUCUUUGAAGGAUACAGUGGCGCUACGCACAGUUCCAUGGGUAUGUCUAAUGGUAGCUUCACAGUGGUGAUAAAAGGGCAAGUGCUCGAGUAUGGGGAGAAUAUAGUAUAUUUGAUGAGCAUUGAUUUAUCUUGCAACAGUUUAACUGGAGAAAUCCCAGAGGAGCUAAGCUCCCUUGCCGGGCUAAUAAAUUUUAAUUUAUCAUCAAACUUGUUGAGUGGAAAUAUCCCAUAUAAUAUUGGCAACCUUGGAUCGCUGGAGUCUCUUGACCUCUCAAAGAACAAACUUGGUGGUGAAAUUCCUCAAGGCUUAUCAGAUUUGACAUACCUGAGCUAUCUAAACUUGCCAUACAACAAUCUGUCAGGAAAAAUACCCUCGGGGCAUCAACUUGACAUCCUCAAGACAGAUGAUCCAGCCUCCAUGUACAUUGGUAAUCCCCUUCUCUGUGGACAUCCAGUUCGAAAUAAAUGUAUUGUUCCUCCUAGAGAUCGCCCAACUAGGGAAGAUUCAGCAAGGUGGCUUGAAGAUGGCUUAUCUCAAAUGGAUUUUCUUCUAGGAUUAAUCAUUGGUUUUGUGACUGGCGCUUGGAUGGCAUUUUGCGGGCUUCUUUUCAAGAAGAGAUGGAGGUAUGUUUGCUUUAGGCUUCGGGACAAGUUGUAUGACAGAUUGCAUGUCAUUUCUGUUGUUACUUGGCGGAAAUGGUUUGAGAACACCGGCAACGGCGGAGCUAUCACUAGUAGAAAAAGAGGCUUCCAUACGCCCGCAUUAGUCCCCAAAAUAAUCGAACCGCGACCAAAGGGGUCUUUAGUCGUGGUUCGGGAGAAGACCCGCGACCAACUAUCUGGGCCCAGCGCGCUCGGUCGACAGCUGGCGGACGGGAGGGGCGGGACUAAAGGUCCUCAGGCUGGCCCGAAGGCCUUUAGUCGCGGUUGGCCAGACCAACCGGGACUAAAGGUUAGUCCUUUAGUCGCGGUUGGCCAGACCAACCGGUACUAA
Molecule: ribosomal RNA, 1194 nt
Filed under: Triticum aestivum (bread wheat)
Lineage: Eukaryota; Viridiplantae; Streptophyta; Magnoliopsida; Poales; Poaceae
Description: partial small subunit ribosomal RNA
Source: RNAcentral